This 118-nucleotide ribosomal RNA is filed under the name Periophthalmus magnuspinnatus. The record is from RNAcentral. Lineage: Eukaryota; Metazoa; Chordata; Actinopteri; Gobiiformes; Gobiidae.
AUUUGUGGCCAAUCUCACCUAGAGAAGUCCGAACUAAUCUGAGCUCGGAAGCUAAGCUGGAUUCAACCUGGUUAGUACUGGGAUGGGAGACUGUUGGGAACACCAAGUACCCUAAGGG